RNAcentral lists this ribosomal RNA (457 nucleotides) under uncultured bacterium. RNAcentral's name for it is "bacterial SSU rRNA". It matches the Rfam family "Bacterial small subunit ribosomal RNA", at positions 28 to 498 of the family's 1533-position model. The record is from RNAcentral.
GACGAACGCUGGCGGCGUGCUUAACACAUGCAAGUCGAACGGUGAACCAGAGCUUGCUCUGGGGAUCAGUGGCGAACGGGUGAGUAACACGUGGGCAACCUGCCCAGACUCUGGGAUAACUCCGGGAAACCGGAGCUAAUACCGGAUACGACUACUUCGGACAUCCGACGGUAGUGGAAAGUUUUUCGGUCUGGGAUGGGCCCGCGGCCUAUCAGCUAGUUGGUGGGGUAAUGGCCUACCAAGGCGACGACGGGUAGCCGGCCUGAGAGGGCGACCGGCCACACUGGAACUGAGACACGGGUCCAGACUCCUACGGGAGGCAGCAGUGGGGAAUAUUGCACAAUGGGCGAAAGCCUGAUGCAGCGACGCCGCGUGAGGGGACGACGGCCUUCGGGUUGUAAACCGUCUUUCAGCAGGACGAAGCGAAAGUGACUGUACCUGCAGAGAAGCACCGGCU